This 490-nucleotide ribosomal RNA is filed under the name Asteloeca traili. Its description in RNAcentral is "partial 16S ribosomal RNA". The stretch from base 365 to 490 matches the Rfam family "Bacterial large subunit ribosomal RNA", at positions 2473 to 2599 of the family's 2925-position model. Lineage: Eukaryota; Metazoa; Arthropoda; Insecta; Hymenoptera; Vespidae. The record is from RNAcentral.
AGUCAAUUUCUGCCCAUUGAAAAAAUUUAAAAGGCUGCGGUAUUUUAACUGUACAAAGGUAGCAAAAUAAAUAGUUUUUUAAUUGAAAACUUGAAUGAAAGAGUUAAUAAAAUAUAAAUUGUCUCAAAUUAAUAAAAAAUUUAAUUUAAAUUAAAAGUAAAAAUACUUUUAUAUUUUUAUUAGACGAUAAGACCCUAAGAAUUUGAUUAUUUAUAUUUUUAUUUAAUUUUUAUAAUAAAUAUAUAAAAAUAUAAAUUAUUUUAUUGGGAGGGUAAAUAAAUUUUUAAACUUUAGUUUUAAUAAAAUAUUUUUAGAUAAAUUUUUAAUGAUUAUUAUUAAGAUUAUAAGAAUAAAUUACCUUAGGGAUAACAGCGUAAUAAUUUUGGAGAGUUCAUAUUGAUAAAAUUGUUUACGACCUCGAUGUUGAAUUAAAAUAAAAAUUAAAUGGAGAGAUUUAAAAUUUUAGUCUGUUCGACUAUUAAAAUUUUAC